RNAcentral lists this ribosomal RNA (364 nucleotides) under uncultured Methanomicrobiales archaeon. RNAcentral's name for it is "bacterial SSU rRNA". It matches the Rfam family "Archaeal small subunit ribosomal RNA", at positions 975 to 1338 of the family's 1478-position model. The record is from RNAcentral. Lineage: Archaea; Methanobacteriati; Methanobacteriota; Methanomicrobia; Methanomicrobiales.
ACUAGCUGAGAGGAGGUGCAUGGCCGUCGUCAGUUCGUACUGUGAAGCAUCCUGUUAAGUCAGGCAACGAGCGAGACCCACGCCAACAGUUGCCAGCUCGUCCUCCGGGAUGGUGGGGACACUGUUGGAACCGCCUCUGCUAAAGAGGAGGAAGGAAUGGGCAACGGUAGGUCAGCAUGCCCCGAAUUAUCUGGGCUACACGCGGGCUACAAUGGGUGGGACAAUGGGUAUCGACACCGAAAGGUGAAGGCAAUCUCCUAAACCCAUCCGUAGUUCGGAUUGUGGGCUGCAACUCGCCCACAUGAAGCUGGAAUCUGUAGUAAUCGUGUCUCAAAAUGGCACGGUGAAUAUGUCCCUGCUCCUU